UUACUUAUUCUUUUGAUUUAUUUUUUUAAAGACCAACCACCGUUGACAUAUACAUAAAAUUAAUACAAGCUGUGAGGGACUGCUAUCACAAAACCAGAGAGAAAUCUACUAAAGACACAGUUUCUUCUUCACCUUGAAGGGCAAUAGAAGCCAAAUGUACAAAGUGCAGAAUAAAGUUAGAAAAUUUACAAUAUUCCUGGGAUCUGCUAACCAUGUAUGACAGCAAUUUGAAAGAGGAAUGGUUUAUAUGAACUUUCAAUUAUAAGGCUCUGGAAGUUCUUAACUGCUAUGAGGAGGUAGCCAAUACACCUCAGAAAAGGUAGUCAAGAUUCAAACAACAUAGAAUCAUCUUAAAAGUUAAAAUUGUCUUAAAACGCACCCAGAAGCAUGCAGGUAACAGAUAAUGCUAUGUCAACUUUAAAUCAAUUACAAUAAUGUAUUCCAAAUCUAAUCAUUUGGUUAAAGACAAAGAUAAGAUAGAUAGGCAUAUAUUUGGUUAUAUUAAUGCAAUGAAAAUAAUUACACUAUAUCCUCAAAAAAAACUUUAUUGUUUUUUAACAAAGCCACUGAACAAUCUUUUCAUUAAAUCUUACUAUUUGGAGAACAAUAUAUUUCUUUAUGUAUUACACUGUAGCCUAACUGUGCUUAUGUCAUCACAUCAACUUGAAAUUAUAUUUUUAAAAUAAACACAUAACAAACAAAAAGAAGCAGAAUGUAUAAAGGAAAAAUGGGAUUUAAAAAUCUUGAUUUAUUCUGUUGUAGUUGAUUGUUUAUCCAAAAUUGAUUGUCUUAAACAAUUACUGUUGCAGUUUAUAAAACUGACAGAUGCUCAUUUGUUACUAAAG
RNAcentral lists this long non-coding RNA (845 nucleotides) under Bos taurus (domestic cattle). RNAcentral describes it as "long non-coding RNA NONBTAT025526". Lineage: Eukaryota; Metazoa; Chordata; Mammalia; Artiodactyla; Bovidae. The record is from RNAcentral.